AUUGAACGCUGGCGGCAUGCCUUACACAUGCAAGUACGAACGGUAACGGGCCUUCGGGUGCCGACGAGUGGCGAACGGGUGAGUAAUGUAUCGGAACGUACCUUUCAGUGGGGGAUAACGUAGCGAAAGUUACGCUAAUACCGCAUAUUCUGUGCGCAGGAAAGCAGGGGAUCGCAAGACCUUGCGCUGAUUGAGCGGCCGAUAUCAGAUUAGCUAGUUGGUGAGGUAAAGGCUCACCAAGGCGACGAUCUGUAGCGGGUCUGAGAGGAUGAUCCGCCACACUGGAACUGAGACACGGUCCAGACUCCUACGGGAGGCAGCAGUGGGGAAUUUUGGACAAUGGGGGCAACCCUGAUCCAGCCAUGCCGCGUGAGUGAAGAAGGCCUUCGGGUUGUAAAGCUCUUUCGGCCGGGAAGAAAUCGUAUCAGCUAAUACCUGGUGCGGAUGACGGUACCGGCAUAAGAAGCACCGGCUAACUACGUG
This 483-nucleotide ribosomal RNA is filed under the name uncultured bacterium. RNAcentral's name for it is "bacterial SSU rRNA". It matches the Rfam family "Bacterial small subunit ribosomal RNA", at positions 30 to 507 of the family's 1533-position model. The record is from RNAcentral.